Long non-coding RNA from Prosopis cineraria, 1375 nucleotides. RefSeq lists it as uncharacterized. NCBI's taxonomy places the organism in Eukaryota, Viridiplantae, Streptophyta, Magnoliopsida, Fabales, Fabaceae. The record is from RefSeq and is a predicted model, not a curated record. The transcript has 4 exons.
GUUUUUGCUUCCUUCGUCGUCGUCUUCCUCCAUUCUUUCUUCGCAGCUGCACAGGUCUCGCUUGCAACAGUCAGAUUUUCUUCAAAUCUAGCAAUCUGAAAGUAGAUCUGGUGGUUUUGUAUCAAGGAAAAUACGUGUUUAGAUGACCCUCCCGGAUCACUCAAAAACCGUUCCAGGUUGAUGGUUCAAUCGGUUCUCUAAGAAUUGCUUGGUCUAACACAGUCUGAAACGGCUCAACUGCCAGAGCGGGUUAAUGGUCCAAACCGAGCCGCCUUCAUGGAUGGUCAACAGGUCGACCGCCCGGUCGAAUUCCUCCCUCACUGUCGGACUGCUUCCUUGCUGCCACUCUUCUCCUGUGCUCACCGAACCUCACUGUUCCUUCUCGUCUCCUGGCCACCGUGAGCUUGCUGUGAUUACUGUCGCUGCUUCACGAUCCUCUGUUUCUUUCUUUCCUCAGUGUUAGUGUGGUGUGCGUUGGUAACCAAGGAGUUUGGGCUUCUUCAAUGUUGUUCCUUCCGUCUUCCUCCAGUGGUCUGCAUGCUUAAGAAUUCAACUAGCAAAGAAGGGAGGCUUAAGGCUUGAAGGUGGGAGGUCAAGAGUUCAAACCAUUACUUUAUCAUAUUUUGCUACAAAUAUGUGACGUGGUGCGAGGUAGUGACGUGGCAUAUGAGGUGGUUUGAGGAGGUAUACACGUGGUAUGUGAUGUGGUGCGAGGUGAUGACGUUAAGCAUUAUGUGGCUUAAGGGGGCACACACAUGGUGGGUGAUGUGGCAGUGAUGGUGACAUGCAUGGUGCAUGAGGUAGCGUGGGAUGUGGCACAAGGUGGUAGGGUGAUGUGGCAUCAUCUGACGAACGCGUGGCCUGUGAUGUGACAUAAGAUGGCAAAUGAUAUAGCAUCAUAUGCCGCAUAUAUGGCAAGUGACAUGGCAUGAGGUGACAUCACGUGGCAGAGUGAUAUGACAUAAGAAUAAAUUAUCAUUUUUUUAAAAAAAAAAUUUGGUGGUGGCAAAAACUAUUAGCGGCAAUAGUUAUAGCGACAACCUUUUAGCGGUGAAAAGUCACUGCUAAAAACUUUAGUGACAACUUUUGGACUUUUGGCAGUGACAAAAGUCUUUCUUUAUGUAGUGAUACUAAUAACAGUUUCGUUAGCUCUUAGCGCACUAUGGUAUACUUAUCUAGCAAAGUGUUUAGGAGGUACUAGCCUCAUACAAUGGUUAACGCACGUGGAAUGGAAGGAUAGUUAUUCGUGAGCAUAUUACUCCUACUUAUUUUUGUGAGAUUUAUGGUCACAUUUGUUUUCAUAGCCUCAAGCUGCGCUUGUCAGUUAUUUAUCCUUGUGGACUAUGUCUAUGUUUGUUAAUCAUUCUAAUAAAGU